Molecule: small nucleolar RNA, 143 nt
Organism: Mus pahari (shrew mouse)
Lineage: Eukaryota; Metazoa; Chordata; Mammalia; Rodentia; Muridae
Product: small nucleolar RNA SNORA48
Exons: 1
Source: RefSeq, a predicted model, not a curated record
ACCCCCUGGCAAUGGGCAAAGAGACACCUUGAUGGUGAUGGUGUUCUUAUAUCAGUCAGAGGCAAAGCUGAUGUAAGUCUUUUGCUCAUUCUAGCUUGAUGGCUGGUUUGGUGGCCAGGCUGUCUUAUUCCUAGGACUCAUAA